UCAAAUAUAAUAUUCAGAAAUUUUAAUUGAAAAAUUAAAAGCAAAUUGCCAUUGCAUUUAGAAGUAAAAAAAAAAAAAUAAAGUCUCUGACAGAGAAGGAAUUUAUAUUGGAAUAUACUCAACACGACUCGAGUGUAAUCCCCCCUAUAAGCUGACAGUUUGAAGAUUGAAUACAACGAUUUGUGGUGUUACUAAUUAAGGAUUCGCUAACAUUUUCGAAUUAUAAAAAAUAAAGAAAAAAAUUGAAGAAAAUAAAAAUACACCUGGCUUAUAUAUGUGAUGUUUGAUGGAGUCUUUCUUAAAGUAGGCUGUCAUUUGAUUGACGCCUACCUCUAUCUUUUUGAGUGAAGACUUUUAUUUGGCAGUAGCCUCGAUGGAAAACUUGUGUAUCCCGUGGAUCCUCAAAUGUGUCAAUUUGUACAUGCAGUGGUAGACCCUGAAAUAAAAAAAUC
Molecule: long non-coding RNA, 452 nt
Organism: Episyrphus balteatus (marmalade hoverfly)
Lineage: Eukaryota; Metazoa; Arthropoda; Insecta; Diptera; Syrphidae
Exons: 3
Source: RefSeq, a predicted model, not a curated record